Molecule: long non-coding RNA, 275 nt
Organism: Rhipicephalus microplus (southern cattle tick)
Lineage: Eukaryota; Metazoa; Arthropoda; Arachnida; Ixodida; Ixodidae
Source: RefSeq, a predicted model, not a curated record
AUGGCCAGUCAUGUGCCAAUGCAGCCCCGACUCCACCUCCUCGGCCCCCACCUAGGUCGUCCAAGAAAUGUCCCUGGUUCACCACCCCCACCUCGUGGCAGACCACGACCACCUAUGGUGAGACCAGAUGCAUGGAGAAAUCCGCCUGGUAACCAUCAGGGUGGCAGAAAUCAUGGCUGAAAGGCCCCGCUGUGCCGCAAAACUAUCUCUUCACGACGAGUGCAUGAGUGAUUGCACCAAAAGCGUAAUAAAGUGUCCUGAAAUCUGAUGUGGAA